CAGUAGCCGCGGGAAUACGUAGGGUGCAAGCGUUAAUCGGAAUUACUGGGCGUAAAGCGCACGUAGGCGGACAUUUAAGUCAGGGGUGAAAUCCCGGGGCUCAACCCCGGAACUGCCUUUGAUACUGGGUGUCUUGAGUGUGGAAGAGGUCAGUGGAAUUGCGAGUGUAGAGGUGAAAUUCGUAGAUAUUCGCAGGAACACCAGUGGCGAAGGCGGCUGACUGGUCCACAACUGACGCUGAGGUGCGAAAGCGUGGGGAGCAAACAGGAUUAGAUACCCCCGUAGUCCCUGUCUCUUAUAC
Molecule: ribosomal RNA, 301 nt
Filed under: uncultured bacterium
Lineage: Bacteria
Description: partial 16S ribosomal RNA
Rfam family: Bacterial small subunit ribosomal RNA
Source: RNAcentral